RNAcentral lists this ribosomal RNA (492 nucleotides) under uncultured bacterium. RNAcentral's name for it is "partial 16S ribosomal RNA". It matches the Rfam family "Bacterial small subunit ribosomal RNA", at positions 29 to 507 of the family's 1533-position model. The record is from RNAcentral.
AGUGAACGCUGGCGGUAGGCCUAACACAUGCAAGUCGAACGGCAGCACAGUAAGAGCUUGCUCUUACGGGUGGCGAGUGGCGGACGGGUGAGGAAUACAUCGGAAUCUACUUUUUCGUGGGGGAUAACGUAGGGAAACUUACGCUAAUACCGCAUACGACCUACGGGUGAAAGCAGGGGAUCUUCGGACCUUGCGCGAUUGAAUGAGCCGAUGUCGGAUUAGCUAGUUGGCGGGGUAAAGGCCCACCAAGGCGACGAUCCGUAGCUGGUCUGAGAGGAUGAUCAGCCACACUGGAAGUGAGACACGGUCCAGACUCCUACGGGAGGCAGCAGUGGGGAAUAUUGGGCAAUGGGCGCAAGCCUGAUACAGCCAUACCGCGUGGGUGAAGAAGGCCUUCGGGUUGUAAAGCCCUUUUGUUGGGAAAGAAAAGCAGCAGGUUAAUACCCCGCUGUUCUGACGGUACCCAAAGAAUAAGCACCGGCUAACUUCGUG